AGCAGCCGCGGUAAUUCCAGCUCCAAUAGCGUAUAUUAAAGUUGUUGCAGUUAAAAAGCUCGUAGUUGAAUUUCGAGACCGGCUUACUGGUCGUGCUAUUGUACGUACUGGUAUAAUCGGUUUCUCCUUUCUGACGAACUAUAAUGCCAUUAAUUUGGUGUUAUAGGGAAUCAGGACUGUUACUUUGAAAAAAUUAGAGUGUUUAAAGCAGGCUCACGCUUGAAUACAUUAGCAUGGAAUAACGGAAUAGGACGUUUGAUUCUAUUUUGUUGGUUUCUAGGAUCGACGUAAUGAUUAAUAGGGAUAGUUGGGGGCAUUAGUAUUCAAUUGUCAGAGGUGAAAUUCUUGGAUUUAUUGAAGACUAACUACUGCGAAAGCAUUUGCCAAGGAUGUUUUCAUUAAUCAAUGAACGAAAGUUAGGGUAUCGAAGACGAUCAGGAUACCGUCGUAGUCUUAACCAUAAACUAUGCCGACUAGGGAUCGGAUGAUGUUAAUUUUUUCAAUGACUCAUUCGGCGCCU
Molecule: ribosomal RNA, 520 nt
Filed under: uncultured Glomus
Lineage: Eukaryota; Fungi; Glomeromycota; Glomeromycetes; Glomerales; Glomeraceae
Description: SSU rRNA
Rfam family: Eukaryotic small subunit ribosomal RNA
Source: RNAcentral